GGGGGCUAGCGUUGCUCGGAAUCACUGGGCGUAAAGCGCACGUAGGCGGCUUUCUAAGUCAGGGGUGAAAUCCUGGAGCUCAACUCCAGAACUGCCUUUGAUACUGGAGAGCUAGAGUCCGGAAGAGGUGAGUGGAACUGCGAGUGUAGAGGUGAAAUUCGUAGAUAUUCGCAAGAACACCAGUGGCGAAGGCGGCUCACUGGUCCGGUACUGACGCUGAGGUGCGAAAGCGUGGGGAGCAAACAGG
This 247-nucleotide ribosomal RNA is filed under the name uncultured bacterium. Its description in RNAcentral is "partial 16S ribosomal RNA". It matches the Rfam family "Bacterial small subunit ribosomal RNA", at positions 530 to 776 of the family's 1533-position model. The record is from RNAcentral.